Long non-coding RNA from Lolium rigidum, 655 nucleotides. RefSeq lists it as uncharacterized. Lineage: Eukaryota; Viridiplantae; Streptophyta; Magnoliopsida; Poales; Poaceae. The transcript is spliced from 2 exons. The record is from RefSeq and is a predicted model, not a curated record.
CACGGCCCGACCUCUCCGUCGCUGCCGCGAGUCGCCGCCCGUCGGCCCGCCUGCCUUGAGAAGGGGUCUCCGAACUUACUGUUUUUUAAAAAAGAAGGGGUUUCAAGGAGCUUGAGUGGUUCACCGACAUGGACCUGUUCCACCACGAUCAUUCGCUCGCCGCCAAGAGGGACAGAACCAUGCAGAGGUCCCAAAGCUCUUCAGCUCGCCGCAGCCCGCGAGCAACGCAAACUUCUACAAGACAGUCGGUGUGCGCCAGAGCAAAAGGGCACGGGUGGAGCUGGCUAACGAUGACGAGGACUACCUCAUCGUCCCUGAUCUUGGAGGAGAUAUCUGAAUUAAACAGUUCUUAACUACAAUAUAUAUGUGUGACGAUGUAGUAAUAUUCAUGCAUGUAUGCAAAGUAUAUACUAUCGUUUUGUUUAGUUGCCAAUGCACAUAUGAAACUGUAAUACAAUUCGAGGAAAUAAUUCCAGAACGAAAUGGGUUUCAGGCAUGCGACGAGUUUGCCUGUUGCGUGUGUUCUGUUCAUCGAGGCAGAACCUUAACAGUUAUGUACCAUCACCCGUGAGAGUUGGAAACAUGUAACUAUGAAGUUCAGUGUUCCAAGCUUUUACUGUGAUUUUACAAUCAACGUGUGAACAGUUUACAUGUA